Molecule: non-coding RNA, 45 nt
Organism: Schistosoma mansoni
Lineage: Eukaryota; Metazoa; Platyhelminthes; Trematoda; Strigeidida; Schistosomatidae
Source: Rfam
AUGCAGCUUACGAAUCCCAAAUAGGAUGAGACGCGCGUCCUAGAU